RNAcentral lists this ribosomal RNA (497 nucleotides) under uncultured bacterium. RNAcentral describes it as "partial 16S ribosomal RNA". It matches the Rfam family "Bacterial small subunit ribosomal RNA", at positions 28 to 507 of the family's 1533-position model. The record is from RNAcentral.
GAUGAACGCUGGCGGCGUGCCUAAUACAUGCAAGUCGAGCGAACGGACGAGAAGCUUGCUUCUCUGAUGUUAGCGGCGGACGGGUGAGUAACACGUGGAUAACCUACCUAUAAGACUGGGAUAACUUCGGGAAACCGGAGCUAAUACCGGAUGAUAUUUUGAACCGCAUGGUUCAAAAGUGAAAGAAGGUCUUGCUGUCACUUAUAGAUGGAUCCGCGCUGCAUUAGCUAGUUGGUAAGGUAACGGCUUACCAAGGCAACGAUGCAUAGCCGACCUGAGAGGGUGAUCGGCCACACUGGAACUGAGACACGGUCCAGACUCCUACGGGAGGCAGCAGUAGGGAAGCUUCCGCAAUGGUCGAAAGCCUGACGGAGCAACGCCGCGUGGGUGAUGAAGGUCUUCGGAUCGUAAAACUCUGUUAUUAGGGAAGAACAUAUGUGUAAGUAACUGUGCACAUCUUGACGGUACCUAAUCAGAAAGCCACGGCUAACUACGUG